GGGGCUGAAAAUGGUUUCGACAGGGUUGUGAAAAAUUUUAAAUCCGCAGGUGUGAUUUACCUUACAAAUCAAACUUAAAUAUAAACGCAAAACCUUAUAGAUUAGCUGCCUAAUUAAUUGGUAGGCCUAAACGACAUGCUUGUUGUUCAGCUAAAUGUCUGCGGCUCGAGGAAUAGAACAAUCACCCCAAAGUUUCUUAAUUCUUUUUCAAAAAUUAAGUGGUGGAUACGAUGUUUGUAAAGUGUCUUUACAAAACCCUGAGUUGGUUAUCUCUAAAAUAACCUAUUGCGUAAGUAUGAUUUAAAAUUAGUAACAGUUUUGGACGCGAGUUCGACUCUCGCCAGCUCCAG
This 350-nucleotide transfer-messenger RNA is filed under the name Bacillota bacterium. It matches the Rfam family "transfer-messenger RNA". Rfam says of the family: Bacterial tmRNA, also known as 10Sa RNA or SsrA, is named for its dual tRNA and mRNA-like properties. Its role is to liberate the mRNA from a stalled ribosome. Lineage: Bacteria; Bacillati; Bacillota. The record is from RNAcentral.